AAAACGACUCUCGGCAACGGAUAUCUCGGCUCUCGCAUCGAUGAAGAACGUAGCGAAAUGCGAUACUUGGUGUGAAUUGCAGAAUCCCGUGAACCAUCGAGUCUUUGAACGCAAGUUGCGCCCCAAGCCUUCUGGCCGAGGGCACGUCUGCCUGGGUGUCACGA
RNAcentral lists this ribosomal RNA (164 nucleotides) under Nasturtium officinale. RNAcentral's name for it is "5.8S ribosomal RNA". It matches the Rfam family "5.8S ribosomal RNA". From Rfam's summary of the family: 5.8S ribosomal RNA (5.8S rRNA) is a component of the large subunit of the eukaryotic ribosome. Lineage: Eukaryota; Viridiplantae; Streptophyta; Magnoliopsida; Brassicales; Brassicaceae. The record is from RNAcentral.